UACGAAGGGGGCUAGCGUUGUUCGGAAUUACUGGGCGUAAAGCGAACGUAGGCGGUGUUCCAUGUCAGAGGUGAAAGCCUGGGGCUCAACUCCAGAAUUGCCUUUGAAACGGGAACGCUUGAGUCCGAGAGAGGAUGGCGGAAUUCCUAGUGUAGAGGUGAAAUUCGUAGAUAUUAGGAAGAACACCAGUGGCGAAGGCGGCCAUCUGGCUCGGUACUGACGCUCAGGUUUGAAAGCGUGGGGAGCAAACAGG
RNAcentral lists this ribosomal RNA (253 nucleotides) under uncultured bacterium. Its description in RNAcentral is "partial 16S ribosomal RNA". It matches the Rfam family "Bacterial small subunit ribosomal RNA", at positions 524 to 776 of the family's 1533-position model. The record is from RNAcentral.